AUAUCCAAAUGGCGCCACGUAGCGCGGCUAUAAUCGCGUAAGCGGUGUCUACGCCAAUUAAGAAGAAGAAUUAGGAUACGAAGAAGCACCUCCACAUUUGUGGAAGGGUCUACUGCCACGGAGAAGGUGCUGCAUUCGCAGUUGUGCUUCCAGACAGGCGACGAUUUUCGAGUUUCCAAAUAAAGAAGAUGUUCGACAGAGUUGGGCAAAGGCUUGCAACUUAGUUGUGUCGCCUUCCGAUACCCUUUUUAUUUGCCGAAAUCAUUUUGACUCGCAGUUUGUCACUAAAUACAAACUUUUGCCUGGGGCUUUUCCAUGUUUACGAUUAGAGCCAGCACUAAGUCGUAGCUCAUCUAGUUCUGACUCUAAUUAGGUGUGCGCACCCAUCACUGCGACUUAUGAACGUCUUAAAGUAGCUGUAGGAGUAGAAGAGGACGACAUAACAUUGAAAGAGUUCGAACAAUAUUCCAUAUUAGAGGAAAGUAGGUUAAAAUAACGCUCUGCUUUAGACAGUCGCGAACGAUUUGCUCGAUCGGCACGGUAUUACCAAAGUAAUACGCUUAGAUUAAAUAAAAAGAUCGAAGAGUUAGUGGGGGUGAUUAAAGAUUUAGACAAAAAUAUGAAGACCUAGAAACACGUGCAAUAGUUGCAGAUGUAACUUCAAGCUCUGACCCUAUAACAUUCGCUAGGAUGAUCGUUACCAAGCGCAAUGUUUAUAGAGACAAUGAAAGGACAUUGGCACAAAACAUUAAUUAUAUGUCCACCAAAUCAUAUAGUUUCAUGCGUGACAAUUUAGAUUUUGCUUUACCAAGCAAGAGUUCUCUUUUGCGUUGGCGCCCAAUUAGGUAUGUUGUCCCUGGUAUCGAUGCCAAUGUCUUGGGAAAUUUAGAAAAAAUUUCCAAAAAAAUGUCCGUUUUAGAACGGAAUUGCGUUUUGUUAUUUGAUGAAAUCUCAAUAAAGUCCGACCUAACUUAUAAUAGAGUUAGGGAUGUUAUUGAUGGGUUUGUGGAUCAUGGGGAUGGCCAACGUGAUAUGAUUAUAGGUAGUAAGUGUUGUUUUUUUAUGGUAAAAGGGUUAUGUUCCAAUUGGAAAUAUGUAUUUUCAUACUACAUUUCCAAGACGGGACUUGCUCCAUCAGAAAUGAAAGAAAUUUUGAGCAAAAACAUCCCAUCACUAAAGUCAAUAGAUCUCAACUUAAAGGCUUUAGUCUGCGAUCAAGGGCCUUAAAAUUCUUGACUUUUCAAUUUGUUAAAAAUUACAGAAGAAACCCCCUUUUAUAUGCACGAAGGUUUAAAAAUAUAUUGUUUAUAUGACUAUUGCCACCUUAUUAAGUCCAUCCGUAACACAUUUAUGAAAUAUGAUAUUUCAACUCUAAAUGGCAUAGCCAGCUUCAAAGUUAUAAAAAAACUUUACUCUAUCGAUCAGAGCAAUAUGCAUUUUAAAAUAUGCCCAAAACUUACAGAGGCCCCACGUUUAACGUGCAACUCACGUUGUGAGCAAUUCGGUCGCUGCUGGCAUUGAAAUGGCAUAUAGCCAUAUCAAGCUUCCAGUCUCUAGUCAGGUUAAGUGUAUUAGUGGGUUUUGUUUCACAAUAAGUGGAAUGAUUCAGUUGAGCGAAGAGCUAUUUAGGGAUAAAGAGGAAUUGAGGUAUAUAUUCCUUGGGAAAAUUAAUCACGAUGCGUUGAAGAAUUUUUUUUUUAGAGUCCGAGCUAUCCUAGGCCCCGAAGAUCGCCAUCUAGAUGUACAGGGAAACGAAGAGGAAUCUGAGCAACUCGACCUGGAAUCCUUCACUAUUCCAGACGAAAAUUUUGUUGAAGAGGAAGACAAAGCUGACGUCCAGAUCAAGCGGUAUUACACUGGCUAUGGUAUUUACCAAAAAAUUUUGUGUAAAAUCCAUUGCGAAAAAUGCACCAAAGCAAUGACGAAGACACAAAGCGAUUUAACGCUGUAUUCGGCAGCCCAAAUCAGAGCUAAAAACCAUAAGGAUGACGGCUACUUAAGGCUAGUCAAUCCUAGUGAUAGGGUCUUCGAAGUGUGUCGACUGCAGAUGAUGUGGUACGUCAAGCUCUUUAGCAAAUUUGCUCACUAUGUAAAUGUUCGUAGUCUGAUGUUGUAUGCCAUAAAACAAAAAACGGAAAGUGCUUUUCCUCAAUGGUUUGAUACAACCAAUACAUGUUUCGCCCAUAAAAUUAAACUAUUAGAGUAUUUACUGACUGUUCUGUUAUAUAAAAAUUCCAAAUGGUUUGAAAAGCAAGAAAUAAAUAGGGAACGACAUAGGAAGCGCGAUGCUAAAAUAAAAAAACUUAAGUAAGUUGCAAGCCAGAAUGCUUUGAUUAAGAGCAUCUUACUUUCGGGUUUUUUCUACUUUCAGUUUUCUUUUAUUAUUAUAUUUUCAGGAUUAUUUUUUUUCUUUUUCAAUAGCAUGCCAACUGAGCCUAGCUUUUUUAAACACAAAUAUUGCACUUAAUGUAGAUGGAUUAAAUUGUGUUAAAAGAAGCAGGUGAAAUUAAAUGACUAAUUUUAAUCAAUAAGUCGUGAGAGAAAUUUCCAUUUUAAAUGGACAAUUUUGUAAUUCGGCAUUAUUUAAUUUUUUUUAAACAUUUUAUUAAAAUUUUGAAAUUGUUAAGUUUCCAAUAAAUAAUAGAAAAAAUCAA
Molecule: long non-coding RNA, 2654 nt
Filed under: Bactrocera tryoni
Lineage: Eukaryota; Metazoa; Arthropoda; Insecta; Diptera; Tephritidae
Description: uncharacterized LOC120781624
Source: RNAcentral